GAGGAAGGGCAGGGAUGCUGGGGAAUCAAGGCGGCAUGGCUGGAAGACACCUUCGACCCCACGAAGUUCUUGGAUGGGAAUUUUACAUGAGACAGGUCAGCUCGGUUGGGUCAUUCACCCUGUGGUCCCUGAGAUGGUUUGGGGAUUGAAAAGUGCUCUGAGUCAUUUGGACAGUGCAACUAUUUCUAACUCUGCAAAUGACUGUUCCCAAAUAGUCCUGGGUCUUGUCAGGGUAGCUGCCUCAUUGCUUUGGUGAAAGGAGAAUCCAUCUGUGGUGGUGCUUCUGGCAUUGUGAGAUGGGGGAGCGGACGCAAGGGUGAGGUUUAUGUCGUGCACUUGAGAUCUUGGCUGUAAAUUAACUCCUUGUCAUUCCCUUCCUCUCCUGCUACCUUUCGGGUAUAUGACAAGCGGCACAGGAGGGAGGCCAUUUCUGUCUGCACAGCUGCGGAUCUCUCGUGAUUACUAAGAGUCUUUGAGCAAAGGAGCAGAAGAGAGUCUGUGGGAAAAAAAGGGCUGAUUCUUGAUCUUGACCAUCGUUCGGCAGACCUGUUCUGUCAAGGGCCAGAAAGUGAAUACUUAUGCUUUGUGGGCCAUAGACUUCUGUGGCGACCUCUCAGCUCAGCCCUGGUGAUGCAGAAGUAGCCACAGGUCAUGUAUAAGCAGAUGAGUGAGGCUGCGCCCCAGCAGCACUUACUUAUAAAACAGUAGCUAAAUUUUGGGAAGCUCCUAUUGCCUUGACUUGAUGUCAUCUAAAGAAAAAGAACAUCGACCAUGAAGGCUCACCAGCAGGCCACAACUCUGUCCAUACCACCCACACUCCGGUUCUAGUUGUCAUUGUCCUCUGUAACACAAGAGGUGUGUCCAGCUGGAAGAGGACACUCGAGCUGUCUUCACCCUGGACUGAACGUGAGGAGUCUCUGGUGUCACACCAUGGGUCCACCACUCCAGAGUGACAAAAGCCCCUCUCUCGGAUGAAGAGCCAUACCAGUGGGAAAUGCAUCUGCCAAACCCUGCAGAUGCACUCUGGCUUCGCCUCCGACAAGACCCUACCGAUGGACGGACACCUGCUUGCCAUGACCCCUAGUUCUCACCAGCACGAUACCCUCAUCCUAGGGGUCGGACCCCUACCCUUCUGACUGGACUUUCCCCAGAGACUUGCCAUUGUUGUGGCUUACGGAAUGACUCAAGUAUUUUACCGCCCUUACUUGUCCACAGGUUUUAUCUGCUGUGGGGCUAGCCACGAUGGUGCCCUCUAAGGUUGUGGACCCCACUUUCAUACACCCUCUGCUGUCACCUCUGACACCUCUGCACUAUGGUUUUCCUGAUCCCAGUCAGUCCUGGUCUUCGGCUCCCCUCACUGCCUUCAGCUUGCCCGACCCAGCGAGGGGCAGGGGGCAAACUCUCGCGUUACCGUAACCGGCAAACGGUUCCCUUGGUUCUCCCCUCCUCAUUGGCCUCCUCUUUAUGCUCCUCACAGUAGCAUUUAGUCCUUGUAUUUUUAAUGCCAUCACCAGGUUUACCACUGCACCAAUUGCCGGGCUCAGAUUCCAGAUGCUCCUUACUCACUACUGCCCUGUAGAUAAUAUAGACGAUGCCCUCUAAACCAGGUGUUUAAAGGGGCAUCAAAGGGGGGAAUGAAAAGGAAAAUCUGUGUUCUGAGGCAGCUGACCAAUCCAGGGGAAUCCCAGUCCCAACCCCAGGGCCAUUCCAGGUUCCCCCCCUAGCCCCACCGACUGCUGCCCCAAGAGUGGCACAGAUACGGAAGUACAAAUGUAUAAAUGACCCCCUUUGUUUGUGCUCGGGGCCCAGACCUUGAGCGAUUACUCUCUUCUGGGCCCACUGGUGUGAAAUAAACCUCCUCCAAGGUCUCCGAGUGCCGUUUGGCUGUUUAGGGCGGGAUCCGGUUUGAGUUCCGAAACACCAGCACCAUCUCUAUCAUCACCACCUACUCAGACCCUAUUCAUCCCUGGGCUUCUCCACCAGACCAUCGGCUCUAGGAGAGCAGCACCAUCGCUGUCUUGUGUAGCUUCUAUGUACACUAUGCAGCCCACAUUAAACGCUCAGUAGGUACGGAUUAAAUUGAAUUCAAGUUCCCUCCUUAUGUACCCUUGUCUAAUACCCUACAGCACUUACAGACUGCACCGUUUUAUUCAAUAUACAUGACACGAUGAUGUAUGGUCUCUUACUCUUGCGCAUUGUAAGCCUUUCAGCCAGAAGCUGAUAUGGAGGCCUGCAAAGGAAGUGCUUUGUGUACCCGUGGGUAGGUAGUGGUCCGUACCUG
Mustela erminea (ermine) is the source of this 2281-nucleotide long non-coding RNA. RefSeq lists it as uncharacterized. The transcript is spliced from 4 exons. The record is from RefSeq and is a predicted model, not a curated record. Lineage: Eukaryota; Metazoa; Chordata; Mammalia; Carnivora; Mustelidae.